Long non-coding RNA from Erinaceus europaeus (western European hedgehog), 782 nucleotides. RefSeq lists it as uncharacterized. The record is from RefSeq and is a predicted model, not a curated record. Lineage: Eukaryota; Metazoa; Chordata; Mammalia; Eulipotyphla; Erinaceidae. The transcript has 2 exons.
GCCAGUGGCUCACCUGCUUAAGCACACACGUUACAGUGCACAAGGACCCAGGUUCAAGCCCUUGGUCCUCACCUGCAGGGGAAAAGCUUUACAAAUGGUGAAGCAGGCCUGUGGGUAUCUGUCUCUUUCCCUCUCUUUUUAUCUCCCACACCCCUCUCAAUUUCUUUCUGUCUCUAUCCAGUGAUAACUAAAUAAUAAUUAAAAAAAUAAAAAAGGGGGAUAGCGUGGUAGCACAGCGGGUUAUGCACAGGUGGUGAGAAGUGCAAGGAUCCCGGUUGGAGUCCUGGCUCCUCACCUGCAGGGGAGUUGCUUCACUGUUGGUGAAGCAGGUCUUCAGGUGUCUAUCUUUCUUUCCCCCUCUCUGCCUCCCCCCUUCUCUCUAUUUCUCUCUGUCCUAUCCAACAAUGACGACAACAGUAAUAACUACAACAAUAAAACAACAAGGGCAACAAAAAGGAAUAUUUUAAAAUAAAUAAAUAAAUAAUACCCCACCUGCAGGGGAGUCACUACACAAGCGGUGAAGCAGGUCUGCAGGUGUCUGUCUUUCUCUCCCCUCUCUGUCUUCUCCUCCUCUCUCCAUUUCUCUCUGUCCUAUCCAACAACAUCAAUCAUAACUACAACAAUAAAACAAGGGCAACAAAAGAUAAUAAAUAUUUUUUUAAAUCUUAAAAAAUAAAAAGUAAAUAAAAAUAAACUUAUUCCCAAGUUAAAGCUCCAGAGAUUCAGUUUUUCUUUUUCUUUCUUGCUAGACAGAGACAGAGAGGCAGAGAGAGAGAGAGAGA